GAAGCAACAGUUAGAACUGGACAUGGGCCAAUGAACUGCUGAGUGUCGGAAGUGUGCUAUAUUAAUGGCAGGAUUUUCGCUAACACCAGUAGAGCUUGCCUCUAUGACUGGAGUUUGAUAGUACUCGCUGCCACAUGA
Bison bison bison is the source of this 138-nucleotide small nucleolar RNA. Lineage: Eukaryota; Metazoa; Chordata; Mammalia; Artiodactyla; Bovidae. The record is from Ensembl.